RNAcentral lists this ribosomal RNA (468 nucleotides) under uncultured bacterium. RNAcentral's name for it is "partial 16S ribosomal RNA". It matches the Rfam family "Bacterial small subunit ribosomal RNA", at positions 28 to 507 of the family's 1533-position model. The record is from RNAcentral.
GACGAACGCUGGCGGCGUGCUUAACACAUGCAAGUCGAACGGAAAGGCCCUGCUUUUGUGGGGUGCUCGAGUGGCGAACGGGUGAGUAACACGUGAGUAACCUGCCCUUGACUUUGGGAUAACUUCAGGAAACUGGGGCUAAUACCGGAUAGGAGCUCCUGCUGCAUGGUGGGGGUUGGAAAGUUUCGGCGGUUGGGGAUGGACUCGCGGCUUAUCAGCUUGUUGGUGGGGUAGUGGCUUACCAAGGCUUUGACGGGUAGCCGGCCUGAGAGGGUGACCGGCCACACUGGGACUGAGAUACGGCCCAGACUCCUCCGGGAGGCAGCAGUGGGGAAUAUUGCACAAUGGGCGGAAGCCUGAUGCAGCAACGCCGCGUGCGGGAUGACGGCCUUCGGGUUGUAAACCGCUUUCGCCUGUGACGAAGCGUGAGUGACGGUAAUGGGUAAAGAGGCACCGGCUAACUACGUG